RNAcentral lists this long non-coding RNA (2414 nucleotides) under Vombatus ursinus (common wombat). RNAcentral describes it as "lncRNA (ENSVURG00010002695.1)". Lineage: Eukaryota; Metazoa; Chordata; Mammalia; Diprotodontia; Vombatidae. The record is from RNAcentral.
UCGAGGGGCGGGCCUACGAGCAAGGCGGUGGUUGGCCGGCAGGGAAGCCCUAUAGGGGCGCGGCACCGGUUUUGAAAGCGAGGCUGCUGGGACGACGACGACUCGUGCAGCAAAGGUGCUCCCGACCACGAGUUCUUCGAGUUCUUCGAGUUCUUCUGCUUCCCGGACGGACGCAGCGAGAGACCGGCGAGUUGCCAUGCAGUCUCCCAGCAACACCCUUGGGUACAGAGCUAGCUUUGCCGAAGAGGCAAAGGUCAUUUCGGAGCAGCUGCAAGGUCAGGGGGGAGCAGAUAUAUCUACCAUAGAAGCCGAGCUCCCACCUCCCGACUUGAGUUCCUCCGCCUCUUUUCUGGACCUACCAAGCAGUGACGAGGCCCAGGUGCAGCCCAGUGACCGCUCACUUCCCCCCGCUAUUCUCGACCCUGUGCAGGAGCCUUCCCCGGCCACCCCCAGUGACCAGGGCCUUCUGUUUCUCAAAAGGCUGCCAGCUUUUGAGGAGGCUGCCAGCCCUGGCAGUCUGGUCAGAUGGGAGCUCUGUAGCCUGUCGCCUGAUGCUGUGCAGGCUGCUGAUCCCUGCUCCUUGGCCCCCCAGCCAAGCACUGAGCUCAAUAAGACCUGUCUGCUUAGCUCAGGCACUCCCCUGCCUCAAGCAGCCCAGCCAGAAGGCAGCCAGGCUCCAGAUGACCAGGCCAGUGAGGAAGGGGCUCUCCUCCAAGUGCAGGACCUCUCAGACAUCCUCAUCAAUAACACUUUCUUCUUUAGCAGGGCUCCCUUUGGGACCUGCACCCCACAGGGAGCUCCAAAACCGCUGAGGCUGCUUGAAGGGGCAUUUUUUUUCCCCUUCCCAGAGAUCCCCCAAGCUCAGGAAGCACCCGGUGUGGCUGAGGCGGCCCAGCCCAGUGCCAGACGCCCCCAGAGGCCUCGAGUAGCCACAGGCAGCCCGCCUAAGGCCACCCCAAAAAGUGGCCCUCUGGGGAAGCUGGGCCAGGAGAACCGAUCCCUGGCUGGGGCCUCUUUAGCUGUUUCCAGGAGGGAGCAUCAGGCCCUUCCUCUGCCUGGGCAGAAAAGAUGGUCACCUGUCCCCUUCAAAACUUCCCACUUGCCUGUCCUGUGCAAGUCCAGAAGGGAACCCUUGGCAUCUCCAGGAGCUAGGCAGCAGAAAGGCAGGAUCUGUGAGGCGGGCAGGAUGAAGGAAGCAGAACCACCUGCCAAGGCAGGGAAUAAUCCACCCUCGGCAGUCAAGGUGUCUCAAUUCCUCCACAGCAAAUCGACGCCACCUCGAAUCUUGCAUCAGAGGGGUCCCAGUGCUUGGGACUCUAAAUCCAGGGACCCUCAGGCAGCUCGAAUUUUGAAGCCCUUGCCUUCUAACCAGGGCACCCGAUCCAGAGUCCCAUCCAGGACAGAUGAGCAGCCCGCCAAGCAGGACGGGAAGCCCCAGCCUUCUUCAGGACGGACGUGCCUCCAGUGCCUUGUGCUGCAGAAGCAAGUGGAAGACCUCAAAAGCCAACUAGCCGCCAUGCAGUGCCUUAGCGGGGAGCUCCAGGGCCUUCAAGGCGUGGCCCGGGAUCCGUCCACAACAAACACCGGGGGCACCACCUGAAUGCCAGGCCCCGGACUCCAGGGCCCUCUCCUCCCAAGGCGGGCCCUACCAUGGAGUCUUUCCGGGUCCUUGUCUCCUUUCCUCCUCCCUCACCCCCGUUCCCCACCCUAGGACAUUGGAGCUAAGCGCACGGGUGGGGGUCUCCCAGUUCUGACUGGAGGCCAGUUGGGGCCAAGUUUUGUUGAGAGGCCUCAUCAUCGCAGGCUGUUAGCACAGUGACCUCCGGCUGCUCUUCUGAGUGGUUGUUCCCGUUCCCGUCCCCAUCCCCCACUUUAGGUGGAAAUGCCAGGAGAGAGCUGGGUUCAAAUCUCACUCACAUCUGGUGCCUCACUGACUGUGUUACUCUGGGCAAGUCACUUCAUCUCCGAGUUCCCUCAUUUGUGAAAUGAGGCUAAUGAUUUCUUCCUGUUUCGACCCCAGUUGUUGUAAGACUCGGACGAGAUGAUCUAUGUGAACUGCUUCAAGCAUCCUUAAAGGCUCUCCUGGAUUUUGUUCCAAAGGGCUUGGAUGCCAGAGCAUGCACACUGGGAGAAGGCAUUUCCUGACUGGGAGUUCAUCCCCUCCUCCCAGACCCCACUCUUCUUUCUGUUUCCUUUGGAGUGAUUUUAAGUGAUCAUAGAAGUGGAAGGGGCCAUCCCUUGUGCAGAUGAAACUGAGGCCCAGGGAAACCAAGUAACUUGCGCAGCGUCACGCAGAGCACAAGCGUCACAGUUAGGCUUUGAAUGCAGGCUCUCUCGCCUCAGACAAAUUUGGAAGCCUUUAUGGUAGCCCAGGCAAGAAUAAUAAAGCAGUUUGAGUGGCAAAGGUGGAGGCA